This 240-nucleotide unclassified non-coding RNA is filed under the name soil metagenome. Its description in RNAcentral is "partial contains 5.8S ribosomal RNA, internal transcribed spacer 2, and large subunit ribosomal RNA". The record is from RNAcentral.
AAGACUAUAGACCUGCGGAGUACCUGCGAGGGAUCAUUAUUGAAUUAUGUUUCUAAAUGGGUUGUAGCUGGCUCGUCAGAGCAUGUGCACGCCUGUUUGGACUUCAUUUUCAUCCACCUGUGCACCUAUUGUAGUCUUUGGUUGGGUAUCAAGGAAGUGGUCAGCCUAUCAGCACUUGCUGGAUGUGAGGACUUGCAGUGUGAAAGCUUUGCUGUCCUUUACUUGAUCAUGGAGUUGUUU